Molecule: ribosomal RNA, 492 nt
Filed under: uncultured bacterium
Lineage: Bacteria
Description: partial 16S ribosomal RNA
Rfam family: Bacterial small subunit ribosomal RNA
Source: RNAcentral
AGUGAACGCUGGCGGUAGGCCUAACACAUGCAAGUCGAACGGCAGCACAGUAAGAGCUUGCUCUUACGGGUGGCGAGUGGCGGACGGGUGAGGAAUACAUCGGAAUCUACUUUUUCGUGGGGGAUAACGUAGGGAAACUUACGCUAAUACCGCAUACGACCUACGGGUGAAAGCAGGGGAUCUUCGGACCUUGCGCGAUUGAAUGAGCCGAUGUCGGAUUAGCUAGUUGGCGGGGUAAAGGCCCACCAAGGCGACGAUCCGUAGCUGGUCUGAGAGGAUGAUCAGCCACACUGGAACUGAGACACGGUCCAGACUCCUACGGGAGGCAGCAGUGGGGAAUAUUGGACAAUGGGCGCAAGCCUGAUCCAGCAAUACCGCGUGGGAGAAGAAAGCCUUCGGGUUGUAAAGCCGUUUUGUUGGGAAAGAAAAGCAGCAGGUUAAUACCCCGCUGUUCUGACGGUACCCGAAGAAUAAGCACCGGCUAACUUCGUG